This 490-nucleotide ribosomal RNA is filed under the name uncultured bacterium. Its description in RNAcentral is "partial 16S ribosomal RNA". It matches the Rfam family "Bacterial small subunit ribosomal RNA", at positions 29 to 507 of the family's 1533-position model. The record is from RNAcentral.
AGUGAACGCUGGCGGUAGGCCUAACACAUGCAAGUCGAACGGCAGCACAGUAAGAGCUUGCUCUUACGGGGCGAGUGGCGGACGGGUGAGGAAUACAUCGGAAUCUACUUUUUCGUGGGGGAUAACGUAGGGAAACUUACGCUAAUACCGCAUACGACCUACGGGUGAAAGCAGGGGAUCUUCGGACCUUGCGCGAUUGACUGAGCCGAUGUCGGAUUAGCUAGUUGGCGGGGUAAAGGCCCACCAAGGCGACGAUCCGUAGCUGGUCUGAGAGGAUGAUCAGCCACACUGGAACUGAGACACGGUCCAGACUCCUACGGGAGGCAGCAGUGGGGAAUAUUGGACAAUGGGCGCAAGCCUGAUCCAGCCGCACCGCGUGGGUGAAGAAGGCCUUCGGGUUGUAAAGCCCUUUUGUUGGGAAAGAAAAGCAGCAGGUUAAUACCCCGCUGUUCUGACGGUACCCAAAGAAUAAGCACCGGCUAACUUCGUG